Molecule: ribosomal RNA, 494 nt
Filed under: uncultured bacterium
Lineage: Bacteria
Description: bacterial SSU rRNA
Rfam family: Bacterial small subunit ribosomal RNA
Source: RNAcentral
CGAUAUCGACGUAGUUUGAUCAUGGCUCAGAAUCAACGCUGGCGGCGUGCCUCAGACAUGCAAGUCGAACGAUUAAAGCUCUCUUCGGAGAGUGUAUAGAGUGGCGCACGGGUGAGUAACACGUAAGUAAUCUACCCUCGAGUGGGGAAUAACAACCGGAAACGGUUGCUAAUACCGCAUAAUGCAGCGGCACCGCAAGGUGACAGUUGUUAAAGAUUUAUCGCUUGAGGAGGAGCUUGCGGCAGAUUAGCUAGUUGGUAGGGUAACGGCUUACCAAGGCUACGAUCUGUAACCGGUCUAAGAGGACGGUCGGUCACACUGACACUGAAUAACGGGUCAGACUCCUACGGGAGCAGCAGUCGGGAAUUUUGGGCAAUGGGCGAAAGCCUGACCCAGCAACGCCGCGUGAAGGAUGAAGUAUUUCGGUAUGUAAACUUCGAAAGAAUAGGAAGAAUUAAUGACGGUACUAUUUAUAAGGUCCGGCUAACUACGUG